This 478-nucleotide ribosomal RNA is filed under the name Metschnikowia sp. (in: budding yeasts & allies). RNAcentral's name for it is "Metschnikowia sp. (in: Fungi) partial large subunit ribosomal RNA". It matches the Rfam family "Eukaryotic large subunit ribosomal RNA", at positions 62 to 557 of the family's 3401-position model. Lineage: Eukaryota; Fungi; Ascomycota; Pichiomycetes; Serinales; Metschnikowiaceae. The record is from RNAcentral.
AAACCAACAGGGAUUACCUCAGUAACGGCGAGUGAAGCGGUAAAAGCUCAAAUUUGAAAUCUUCGGAAUUGUAAUUUGUAGGAUAGUCUAGUCUUCACAUCAAGUUCAUUGGAAAAUGACGCCUUAGAGGGUGAUAGCCCCGUAGUGAAAGACACUCACAGUCUAUCCCAAGAGUCGGGUUGUUUGGGAAUGCAGCUCUAAGUGGGUGGUAAAUUCCAUCUAAAGCUAAAUAUUGGCGAGAGACCGAUAGCGAACAAGUACAGUGAUGGAAAGAUGAAAAGCACUUUGAAAAGAGAGUGAAAUAGUACGUGAAAUUGUUGAAAGGGAAGGGCUUGCGGGGGGUGAGAGAGUUGGGAGAGGGACGAGGAAAAGCGGGAGGAAAAGUAGCUAGCAAUAGUAUUAUAGACCUUCCUCAUACUCAUUCUUCUCCCCAGGACAGCUAAUUCUACAGGACUCUCUCUUAACCGCCGCAAGUCGC